GAUGAACGCUGGCGGCGUGCCUAACACAUGCAAGUCGAGCGGCAGCGAGGGGUGCUUGCACCCUGUCGGCGAGCGGCGGACGGCUGAGUAACGCGUGGGAACGUGCCCCAAAGUGAGGAAUAACUGCCCGAAAGGGUAGCUAAUACCGCAUAUUAUCUUCGGAUCAAAGGAUUUAUCCGCUUUGGGAGCGGCUCGCGUCGGAUUAGGUAGUUGGUGAGGUAAUGGCCCACCAAGCCGACGAUCCGUAGCUGGUCUGAGAGGAUGACCAGCCAGACUGGAACUGAGACACGGUCCAGACUCCUACGGGAGGCAGCAGUGAGGAAUCUUCCACAAUGGGCGAAAGCCUGAUGGAGCAACGCCGCGUGCAGGACGAAGGCCUUCGGGUUGUAAACUGCUUUUAUAAGUGAGGAAUAUGACGGUAACUUAUGAAUAAGGAUCGGCUAACUACGUG
This 451-nucleotide ribosomal RNA is filed under the name uncultured bacterium. Its description in RNAcentral is "partial 16S ribosomal RNA". It matches the Rfam family "Bacterial small subunit ribosomal RNA", at positions 28 to 507 of the family's 1533-position model. The record is from RNAcentral.